RNAcentral lists this ribosomal RNA (1169 nucleotides) under Burkholderia gladioli. RNAcentral's name for it is "bacterial SSU rRNA". It matches the Rfam family "Bacterial small subunit ribosomal RNA", at positions 1 to 1152 of the family's 1533-position model. The record is from RNAcentral. Lineage: Bacteria; Pseudomonadati; Pseudomonadota; Betaproteobacteria; Burkholderiales; Burkholderiaceae.
AAGAGUUUGAUUCCUGGCUCAGAUUGAACGCUGGGGGCAUGCCUUACACAUGCAGUCGAACGGCAGCACGGGUGCUUGCACCUGGUGGCGAGUGGCGAACGGGUGAGUAAUACAUCGGAACAUGUCCUGUAGUGGGGGAUAGCCCGGCGAAAGCCGGAUUAAUACCGCAUACGAUCUACGGAUGAAAGCGGGGGACCUUCGGGCCUCGCGCUAUAGGGUUGGCCGAUGGCUGAUUAGCUAGUUGGUGGGGUAAAGGCCCACCAAGGCGACGAUCAGUAGCUGGUCUGAGAGGACGACCAGCCACACUGGGACUGAGACACGGCCCAGACUCCUACGGGAGGCAGCAGUGGGGAAUUUUGGACAAUGGGCGAAAGCCUGAUCCAGCAAUGCCGCGUGUGUGAAGAAGGCCUUCGGGUUGUAAAGCACUUUUGUCCGGAAAGAAAUCCUGAGGGCUAAUAUCCUUCGGGGAUGACGGUACCGGAAGAAUAAGCACCGGCUAACUACGUGCCAGCAGCCGCGGUAAUACGUAGGGUGCGAGCGUUAAUCGGAAUUACUGGGCGUAAAGCGUGCGCAGGCGGUUUGUUAAGACCGAUGUGAAAUCCCCGGGCUCAACCUGGGAACUGCAUUGGUGACUGGCAAGCUAGAGUAUGGCAGAGGGGGGUAGAAUUCCACGUGUAGCAGUGAAAUGCGUAGAGAUGUGGAGGAAUACCGAUGGCGAAGGCAGCCCCCUGGGCCAAUACUGACGCUCAUGCACGAAAGCGUGGGGAGCAAACAGGAUUAGAUACCCUGGUAGUCCACGCCCUAAACGAUGUCAACUAGUUGUUGGGGAUUCAUUUCCUUAGUAACUAGCUAACGCGGAAGUUGACCGCCUGGGGAGUACGGUCGCAAGAUUAAAACUCAAAGGGAAUUGACGGGGACCCGCACAAGCGGUGGAUGAUGUGGAUUAAUUCGAUGCAACGCGAAAAACCUUACCUACCCUUGACAUGGUCGGAACCCUUGGAGGAGGAUCUGAGGGUUGCUCGAAAGGAGAACCGGAUACACAGGGUGCUGGCAAUGGCUGUCGUCAGCUCGUGUCGUGAAGAUGAUGGGGUUUAAGUCCCGCGACGAAGCGCAGCCCAUUGGUCCGUAAGUUGCCUACGGCCAAGGAAGGCAACGUCUUGGGGAAGAAA